Molecule: ribosomal RNA, 207 nt
Filed under: uncultured bacterium
Lineage: Bacteria
Description: partial 16S ribosomal RNA
Rfam family: Bacterial small subunit ribosomal RNA
Source: RNAcentral
UCGGAUUGAAGGCUGAAAUUCGCCUUCAUGAAGCCGGAAUUGCUAGUAAUGGCAGGUCAGCAUACUGCCGUGAAUACGUUCCCGGGCCUUGUACACACCGCCCGUCACACCAUGAGAGUUGGGAAUACCCGAAGCCUGUGAGCUAACUUUUAGAGGCAGCAGUCGAAGGUAGAAUCAAUGAUUGGGGUGAAGUCGUAACAAGGUAAC